CUUGGACACGUGGUCCUCUGCUUGUGCUCCAGGGAAUGAGCUCAAGCGAAUGGCAAAGCUCAGCCUUGGGGUUGUGCCAGGCAGAAACCAUGAGCUUUGUUUCCAAAUCUGACACUGCAGCAACUUCUUACAUGAAAUCCUACAGCCUGGCUUAAACUGAGCAGAUGUUCCAAGGGUCACUUGCUUCUUUAAUCCUGUUUUUUACUGCUUAGAUUCCACCUUCAAAGCCACUUUCUGGAUGUGAAAUAGCACUUGCUGGAGAAAAUCAGAAGCAUCAACAAGGAAAGCAGUGAAUAAAAUCAUGCCUUUGCAAUGCUAUUGGGUCCUUCCCAACACACCAAUGCAGGUCACUAAGUAAACUGCUCU
Long non-coding RNA from Strigops habroptila (Kakapo), 366 nucleotides. RefSeq lists it as uncharacterized. Lineage: Eukaryota; Metazoa; Chordata; Aves; Psittaciformes; Psittacidae. The transcript has 3 exons. The record is from RefSeq and is a predicted model, not a curated record.